ACCCAGGUGCUUGUCAUCGGGAGACUCCCCGGCCCAACCUGGGAAGAAUGGUCCCAUGGGAAAACACAAGCUGUAGGACAUGGCAAGAUGGAACUUCAAGACAAGUCAUGUUGUAUAGACAGGACAAC
Mustela erminea (ermine) is the source of this 128-nucleotide long non-coding RNA. RefSeq lists it as uncharacterized. The transcript has 3 exons. The record is from RefSeq and is a predicted model, not a curated record. NCBI's taxonomy places the organism in Eukaryota, Metazoa, Chordata, Mammalia, Carnivora, Mustelidae.